Molecule: ribosomal RNA, 579 nt
Filed under: uncultured bacterium
Lineage: Bacteria
Description: bacterial SSU rRNA
Rfam family: Bacterial small subunit ribosomal RNA
Source: RNAcentral
CCUACGGGAGGCAGCAGUGAGGAAUAUUGGACAAUGGGCGCAAGCCUGAUCCAGCCAUGCCGCGUGCAGGAUGACGGUCCUAUGGAUUGUAAACUGCUUUUGUACAGGAAGAAACAGUUCUACGUGUAGAACCUUGACGGUACUGUAAGAAUAAGGAUCGGCUAACUCCGUGCCAGCAGCCGCGGUAAUACGGAGGAUCCAAGCGUUAUCCGGAAUCAUUGGGUUUAAAGGGUCCGUAGGCGGUUUAGUAAGUCAGUGGUGAAAGCCCAUCGCUCAACGGUGGAACGGCCAUUGAUACUGCUAAACUUGAAUUAUUAGGAAGUAACUAGAAUAUGUAGUGUAGCGGUGAAAUGCUUAGAGAUUACAUGGAAUACCAAUUGCGAAGGCAGGUUACUACUAAUGGAUUGACGCUGAUGGACGAAAGCGUGGGUAGCGAACAGGAUUAGAUACCCUGGUAGUCCACGCCGUAAACGAUGGAUACUAGCUGUUGGAAGCAAUUUCAGUGGCUAAGCGAAAGUGAUAAGUAUCCCCACCUGGGGAGUACGUUCGCAAGAAUGAAAACUCAAAAGGAAUUGACGG